GGCGCACGGGUGAGUAACGCGUGGAUAAUCUGCCUUCAAGUCGGGAAUAACAUUGCGAAAGCGAUGCUAAUACCGGAUAAGCUCACGAUUUGAUUAGUUGUGGGAAAAGAUGGCCUAGUCUAUGCUAUCGCUUGAAGAUGAGUCCGCGUACCAUUAGCUUGUUGGUAGGGUAAUGGCCAACCAAGGCUUCGAUGGUUAGCUGGCCUGAGAGGGCGGCCAGCCACACUGGAACUGAGACACGGUCCAGACUCCUACGGGAGGC
Molecule: ribosomal RNA, 262 nt
Filed under: uncultured Pseudomonadota bacterium
Lineage: Bacteria; Pseudomonadati; Pseudomonadota
Description: uncultured proteobacterium partial 16S ribosomal RNA
Rfam family: Bacterial small subunit ribosomal RNA
Source: RNAcentral